RNAcentral lists this ribosomal RNA (943 nucleotides) under uncultured bacterium. RNAcentral's name for it is "bacterial SSU rRNA". It matches the Rfam family "Bacterial small subunit ribosomal RNA", at positions 53 to 990 of the family's 1533-position model. The record is from RNAcentral.
ACAUGCAAGUCGAGGGGCAGCAUAAUGGAUAGCAAUAUCUAUGGUGGCGACCGGCGCACGGGUGCGUAACGCGUAUGCAACCUACCUUUAACAGGGGGAUAACACUGAGAAAUUGGUACUAAUACCCCAUAAUAUCAUAGAAGGCAUCUUUUAUGGUUGAAAAUUCCGAUGGUUAGAGAUGGGCAUGCGUUGUAUUAGCUAGUUGGUGGGGUAACGGCUCACCAAGGCGACGAUACAUAGGGGGACUGAGAGGUUAACCCCCCACACUGGUACUGAGACACGGACCAGACUCCUACGGGAGGCAGCAGUGAGGAAUAUUGGUCAAUGGACGCAAGUCUGAACCAGCCAUGCCGCGUGCAGGAUGACGGCUCUAUGAGUUGUAAACUGCUUUUGUACGAGGGUAAACGCAGAUACGUGUAUCUGUCUGAAAGUAUCGUACGAAUAAGGAUCGGCUAACUCCGUGCCAGCAGCCGCGGUAAUACGGAGGAUUCAAGCGUUAUCCGGAUUUAUUGGGUUUAAAGGGUGCGUAGGCGGUUUGAUAAGUUAGAGGUGAAAUUUCGGGGCUCAACCCUGAACGUGCCUCUAAUACUGUUGAGCUAGAGAGUAGUUGCGGUAGGCGGAAUGUAUGGUGUAGCGGUGAAAUGCUUAGAGAUCAUACAGAACACCGAUUGCGAAGGCAGCUUACCAAACUAUAUCUGACGUUGAGGCACGAAAGCGUGGGGAGCAAACAGGAUUAGAUACCCUGGUAGUCCACGCAGUAAACGAUGAUAACUCGUUGUCGGCGAUAUACAGUCGGUGACUAAGCGAAAGCGAUAAGUUAUCCACCUGGGGAGUACGUUCGCAAGAAUGAAACUCAAAGGAAUUGACGGGGGCCCGCACAAGCGGAGGAACAUGUGGUUUAAUUCGAUGAUACGCGAGGAACCUUACCCGGGCUUGAAAGUUA